GUGAGGAAUUUUGCGCAAUGGCCGCAAGGCUGACGCAGCAACGCCGCGUGGGUGAUGAAGGCCUUCGGGUCGUAAAGCCCUGUCAGGUGGGAAGAAAGGCCUGGAGAGGAAAGGUUUCAGGUUUGACGGUACCACCAGAGGAAGCACCGGCUAACUCCGUGCCAGCAGCCGCGGUAAUACGGAGGGUGCGAGCGUUAUUCGGAAUUACUGGGCGUAAAGCGCGUGUAGGCGGGGAGACAAGUCUGAUGUGAAAGCCCUGGGCUUAACCUGGGAAGUGCAUUGGAAACUGUUUUUCUUGAGUACUGGAGAGGAAGGGGGAAUUCCCGGUGUAGAGGUGAAAUUCGUAGAGAUCGGGAGGAAUACCAGUGGCGUAGGCGCCCUUCUGGACGGUAACUGACGCUGAGACGCGAAAGCGUGGGGAGCAAACAGGAUUAGAAACCCCAGUAGUCC
Molecule: ribosomal RNA, 450 nt
Filed under: uncultured bacterium
Lineage: Bacteria
Description: partial 16S ribosomal RNA
Rfam family: Bacterial small subunit ribosomal RNA
Source: RNAcentral